UGCAAGUCGAACGAUGAAGCCCAGCUUGCUGGGUGGAUUAGUGGCGAACGGGUGAGUAACACGUGAGUAACCUGCCCCCGACUUUGGGAUAAGCCCGGGAAACUGGGUCUAAUACCGGAUAUGACUUUCCACCGCAUGGUGGGUUGUUGAAAGAUUUAUCGGUGGGGGAUGGACUCGCGGCCUAUCAGCUUGUUGGUGAGGUAAUGGCUCACCAAGGCGACGACGGGUAGCCGGCCUGAGAGGGUGACCGGCCACACUGGGACUGAGACACGGCCCAGACUCCUACGGGAGGCAGCAGUGGGGAAUAUUGCACAAUGGGCGGAAGCCUGAUGCAGCGACGCCGCGUGAGGGAUGACGGCCUUCGGGUUGUAAACCUCUUUCAGUAGGGAAGAAGCGAAAGUGACGGUACCUGCAGAAGAAGCGCCGGCUAACUACGUGCCAGCAGCCGCGGUAAUACGUAGGGCGCAAGCGUUAUCCGGAUUUAUUGGGCGUAAAGAGCUCGUAGGCGGUUUGUCGCGUCUGCCGUGAAAGUCCGAGGCUCAACCUCGGAUCUGCGGUGGGUACGGGCAGACUAGAGUGAUGUAGGGGAGACUGGAAUUCCUGGUGUAGCGGUGAAAUGCGCAGAUAUCAGGAGGAACACCGAUGGCGAAGGCAGGUCUCUGGGCAUUUACUGACGCUGAGGAGCGAAAGCAUGGGGAGCGAACAGGAUUAGAUACCCUGGUAGUCCAUGCCGUAAACGUUGGGCACUAGGUGUGGGGGACAUUCCACGUUUUCCGCGCCGUAGCUAACGCAUUAAGUGCCCCGCCUGGUGAGUACGGCCGCAAGGCUAAAACUCAAAGUAUUGACGGGGG
Molecule: ribosomal RNA, 851 nt
Filed under: Glutamicibacter sp.
Lineage: Bacteria; Bacillati; Actinomycetota; Actinomycetes; Micrococcales; Micrococcaceae
Description: bacterial SSU rRNA
Rfam family: Bacterial small subunit ribosomal RNA
Source: RNAcentral